UAUUUGCCAAAAAAAGUUAUAUUUUUUUACCACAAAUUUCUUAGUAUAUUAAUUAUUAGGCUAAAUGAUAAGAAAAUCCAAUACUUUUGUGCUUGUGUCAAUGUUAGCCUUACCUAUCACUUUUAUCAAUUAUAGCCUAAAUUUUAGGAUAAUGGUGUCAAUUGUACCAAUAUUCUGUUGGACAUUCCAUUUGGGCCUUUACAAGUCUCAUAUUGUACAGUGAGAUGUCAAAUGACUUCCAUUUACAAUUUUUUUUUUUCUAAAG
RNAcentral lists this unclassified non-coding RNA (265 nucleotides) under Hevea brasiliensis (rubber tree). Lineage: Eukaryota; Viridiplantae; Streptophyta; Magnoliopsida; Malpighiales; Euphorbiaceae. The record is from RNAcentral.